CCCCUUGCGUCACAGGGCGCGCGCGCCUAUCUUCGUCGAGUCCCGCAAGGGACUAUGGUGAUAAACGCGCGUGCAAUAAGCGGAUCGGACCCGGGGGCGGUACCCGGCGGCUCCACCAAACUCCCACAUUGGCGGGACAGCGGGGCCGAAACAGGAUCGACGGACGUGUAAAGACGUUAGCUUUCACUCGGCAGGACGCCACCGUUACCGGCUCAAGCAUGAUAGUUGCCAAUGACAACCGUGCUCCGGUCGCGCUCGCUGCGUAAGCAGUGCGCAAGAUCGAAAACUAAGUCCUGAUCUCUAGCAAGAUCAGGCGGGGUUCGCAGGCACCUGGCAACAGAAGCCUGCACU
RNAcentral lists this transfer-messenger RNA (351 nucleotides) under Halovulum dunhuangense. Its description in RNAcentral is "Alphaproteobacteria transfer-messenger RNA". It matches the Rfam family "Alphaproteobacteria transfer-messenger RNA". From Rfam's summary of the family: Bacterial tmRNA, also known as 10Sa RNA or SsrA, is named for its dual tRNA and mRNA-like properties. Its role is to liberate the mRNA from a stalled ribosome. To accomplish this part of the tmRNA is used as a reading frame that ends in a translation stop signal. The record is from Rfam by way of RNAcentral. Lineage: Bacteria; Pseudomonadati; Pseudomonadota; Alphaproteobacteria; Rhodobacterales; Paracoccaceae.